GCUCCAGUCUCUGACAUCAGGAUCCAUCAGGAUGGAAACAGGAUCACCUGCAGCUCAGAGGGGAUCUACCCUCAACCUGAACUCACCUGGUCCACUGAGCCUCCAUCCAACACGGCUCUGAAUGAAACUACCAGGAUCCAGAAAACUGAAGAUCAGCUUUACAACAUCAGCAGCUCUCUGACGGGUCCAGAUGGUCCAGAUCUGACCUACAGCUGCAGCAUCAGAACCAGGAGCAACCAGAGGAGAGCAACACUUCAUAAACUCAGAAAUUCCCAGAUUGCUGAGCAGAGCUGGCAGAUUAUGGAGAAAAUCCUGAUCGCUGUGACGGGAUUAUCACCUGUAAUCUGCACAGUGAUAGCAGAAAUUCUGAGUCGCAGUUGGAAGAAUAAAGCAAACUAAUGGAGAAUCAGAGGAUCUUCAGGACAAACCAGUUCAGGUUCCAGAGUCCCAGUCCAGACCAGCAGGAUGGUGGAGUUUAUGAACUUUAACUAUUUUAUGUCAAAUAAACAAAAAAAGAAAAGAAAAACUGGAGAAUCUGAAGAU
Long non-coding RNA from Poecilia latipinna (sailfin molly), 543 nucleotides. RefSeq lists it as uncharacterized. NCBI's taxonomy places the organism in Eukaryota, Metazoa, Chordata, Actinopteri, Cyprinodontiformes, Poeciliidae. The transcript has 4 exons. The record is from RefSeq and is a predicted model, not a curated record.